UAUAAAAGACAGCCAUAUAUUUCUUCUUUGGGUACCAACUAACCAGUUGGCAAAUAACAACCCCAUAAUUUCUGAUUUCUCAUACAGCAUCAUAUGUAAUUUGAAGUUUUAUUGAAGAUCUUUGAGACCAAUUUUCAAAGGAAAAAUAUAUGAGGACUUAUUUGAUCACUUAGUUGGCCUUUUUGUGUUUUUUCUCUUAUGCAGGAACCUAUGAUCCAUUGGAUCCCAAUGGAAAUAUCACCAUCAAAUGGGAUGUCAUGUCCUGGACUCCUGAUGGCUAUGUUGUAUGUUCCCUUCUCCAAAUCUCAGUUUAUUCUUUCUUUUGCAUUAUAUAUUUAGUUAUCUAUAGUUUAAAGAAAAAAAAAAUGAUCUUUUAAAAACUAAUAACUUAUAUUUAACUUAUCAUACGAUAAUUAAUCUCGAGAUUAGUUAUCCCGGGAUUACCUAGGGUAACUUAUCGCACCAUGCAUAUGCGAUAACUUAUCCCAUCACUAUGGUGUAAAUGAUGGGAUAAGUUUUCCCGGUAUUGACUAAUACCUCCAACCAAAAAUGGGAUAAAAUAAUCCUUUAUAUUAUUCGGGGACUACAUGUCCCUUAUACCUCACACCAAACGAAGGGUUGUUUGAUCCAUGAAUAAGUUAUACUAAAAUUAUAAUGUGACAAAUAUAAUACAACGAUUAAAUAAAGCACUUAUGUAGUUGAUAGAUUUUUAUUGUUAUGAUUUUAAUCUAUUGAGAUAUUCAUGAUAUGAUAUAAAAUAUGCGUAUAGUUAAAUAGAAUUGUAUACACUCUACUUUUUUGAUCCCACUUUGUGGGAGUAUACUAGGUAUAUUGUGGUAUUUUGGAGAAAAGUUUGGGGAACGACAAAUAUCUUCUUUGUUGCAUUAUCCCUGGAUUAGUAAUUUUGUAUUGUCAUCCCAUAUAGAUGUAAUAUAAAAAUAGUACUAUCAUAAUUGUGGUAUACGUAACUUUGGAUUGCUAAUCUCAAUUUAAAAUGGAUAUAACAAUGUCAAGCGUUAUCCUGAAAUUAUAAUCUGUUUGUCCUUGUAACCAAAUGACUCCUAGGUAUUAAAAUUCUUUUACACUACAUGUGUUUCUUUUAUAAGUUGUAAUAGGUUAUCUCCCCCCCAUUUUCUAGGUUAUUGAUGCUACAUUUGAAGUUACAACCAGUUAUUUUCUGGAAUUAAGUUGCAUCCUUAACACAACUAGUUUAAGUUAAUUUGUGAUAAUAGGUUAUUUGUCAUUAUCAGGUUACCAAUAAAUGAUUAUCAUAGAGAUUUGUUAGUAAAUUACUUAUUAAAGGAAUUGAUUCUGUCAAUAUUUAUUAUAUAGCCGGUGCAUAUGCAGCACAAACUUGUUAUCUUUUAAAUAAUUGGAUAGUGUUAUUUUC
This is a long non-coding RNA of Capsicum annuum, 1390 nucleotides long. RefSeq lists it as uncharacterized. The transcript is spliced from 2 exons. Lineage: Eukaryota; Viridiplantae; Streptophyta; Magnoliopsida; Solanales; Solanaceae. The record is from RefSeq and is a predicted model, not a curated record.